Molecule: long non-coding RNA, 1169 nt
Organism: Apis cerana (Asiatic honeybee)
Lineage: Eukaryota; Metazoa; Arthropoda; Insecta; Hymenoptera; Apidae
Source: RefSeq, a predicted model, not a curated record
AUAAUACAUGUCAAAGACCGUGCAAUCCAAUAUGCUGUAGAAGAUAUAAUGUAACGAAUUGAUAGAGUCCUAUUCAGAUGAAAAGCAAGUAUUUUUGAAUAUUUGAGAAGACAAGAAUUACUAUUAUCAAAUUGUUAAACACUUAUGCAAAGUUUAAAAUGUGUUAUAUUACAUGCAGUUUGCAUAUAUUGGUACUUUUAAUCAUGUUCUCUUGAACUUUCACUGACAAAUACAACGAAGCAGACGAAUGCAAUUGGAUAACGAUAAUUCCUGACAUUCGAACUUAUCGGUUUUUGAAAGAUUUAAACGAUACGGAAGUUCCAACUGGUGAUAAUAUUUCAAAAUAACGCAAUGCGGUGUUUCGUGAGAAAAUUUAAACGAAACUUCGAACGUGCAACGCGUUAAAAUAAUUUAUGUACGAAAUCUAUGUAUUUCCGCGAUAUGGUUGCCAGAAAAAUAUUCUCUAUGGAGAGAAUGGAAGAAAGUAGCAUGCAUCACAUAUAGUUAGUGAACUAGUGACGUCAUUCAUACUUCAGCUAAUAGAUAAAAGAACUAACGAAUGAAAUAAUUCAAUUUUAUAAAAUAAAAGAAUGAAAGUAUUUGUGCAAUUAAAUAUGAUAUUAUAUUUUUUUAAUUCGUAUGUAACGGACUAUUUUAUAAAUUAAAUAUAUUUUUUAAAUUUUGAUAUUUACGAUAUAAAUUAUUUUGAUAAUUAUAGAAAAAAAUGAUUUUAAAUAUUAUUUAAAAAUCAUCGAAAUCGAUGAAGUGUGCUUUUUUUCUAUUAUUUUAUUUAUAUUUAUCAAUAAUAUUGUUAUUGUUUGGUAAUAAAACUUUGUUCUUAAUGGAUUCAAAUAAAUUUAUACUGAGAUUAUUAUUAUAAAACAAUAAUGAUAUUUCCUUAAAAUAGAAACGAUUAAUUAGUAUCAAUAUUGUAUUAUAAUCAAUAAUGUAUUAUAAUCAUAUUAUAAUGUUUAAAUCUUGAAACAUUCCAUUAUAAAAACAUUCAUUAUUUCACCAAUUAUUAUUCGAUUGCAUCAUUAAAAUGUUCUAUUGUUCAUACAAUACAUUUUAUAUUGUAUAUAUUGUAUAUAUAUAUAGUUUAUGCAUAAUAUAAAUAAUUUCUAGUGUGUAUAAAGUUCACAAUUUAAUAAAUUAUGUAUAUUCCAUCA